GGGGUUGUAGCUCAGUGGUAGAGUGCUCACCUCACACGUGUGAAGGACUGGGUUUGAUCCUCAGCCCCA
This 69-nucleotide transfer RNA is filed under the name Ictidomys tridecemlineatus (thirteen-lined ground squirrel). Its description in RNAcentral is "Spermophilus tridecemlineatus (thirteen-lined ground squirrel) tRNA". It matches the Rfam family "tRNA". Rfam says of the family: Transfer RNA (tRNA) molecules are approximately 80 nucleotides in length. Their secondary structure includes four short double-helical elements and three loops (D, anti-codon, and T loops). The record is from Rfam by way of RNAcentral. Lineage: Eukaryota; Metazoa; Chordata; Mammalia; Rodentia; Sciuridae.